GAGCCCGUGGCUUAAUGGUAGAGUGUUUGACUCAAACACAAAAAGUCGCGGGUUCGAAUCCCAGGUGUG
RNAcentral lists this transfer RNA (69 nucleotides) under Schistocephalus solidus. The stretch from base 1 to 56 matches the Rfam family "tRNA". From Rfam's summary of the family: Transfer RNA (tRNA) molecules are approximately 80 nucleotides in length. Their secondary structure includes four short double-helical elements and three loops (D, anti-codon, and T loops). The record is from Rfam by way of RNAcentral. Lineage: Eukaryota; Metazoa; Platyhelminthes; Cestoda; Diphyllobothriidea; Diphyllobothriidae.